CCCAACCAUGUCUCCAACUCCGU
RNAcentral lists this non-coding RNA (23 nucleotides) under Arabidopsis thaliana (thale cress). The record is from RNAcentral. Lineage: Eukaryota; Viridiplantae; Streptophyta; Magnoliopsida; Brassicales; Brassicaceae.